UGAUAUGGGCGACAGUGUCCUCGAUCACCACCGUGGUGCCCAAGAUCAAAACACACAACUUAAAAUGCAGUGACUAUCAGGUGCGUAUUAUGUUUUAUGAUGUGAAACUGAUUAUUCCCCCGGUGGAUAAUCACUGCUGUUCGUCAUUACUAGAUAUCAAAAUACUGGUGGGUGUUUAUGUGUGUGUGUUUGUGCAGGUGUGUGUUUGUGUGCAUUUUCAGCAUGUUGCGACACUUUAAUUGUGGUCUUAGAGGAACAUGUCAUAUUUCGAGGAAUUAGUGUUCCUUAUUCCUACGCAUUAUGGGCCUGAGUCCAUCAGAAUAUCAACUAUGUAGAUAUUUUUGGGGUGGCGCAUCUGGGUAUGAACACAUGGCUCUAUAGCGCCCCCUAAACAUUUGGCACUGUUGCCAUUUGGCUUACUUGUUGCCACCGAUGACCGAUUGACUUGAAAUUUGGCAGACAGGUGCUCAUCUGCAUGUUCUACACAGAGGUCAGGGAUGAUGGUACGCAAAUGCACCCUUACAAACAUAUUCAAUAGAACUGAACACACUGCCAGGAGCUUCACUUCUUUACCUGUUGAAGUCCUGUCGGGUUGCUCCACUCUCUGUUGGAUGGUUGUCAAAUAAACUCGGUUUUACUUACUCCAGUCGGUCUCCUGGUCAAUCCGUGACACAGAGCAUAAAGAUCGGCAUUUGAAAAUUCCAUCAUUAACUGCAAUAAAUCAUUGCAAAUAUCUCUUCUUUAGCUCUAGUUAACCAUUGUUUGGGUAAAAAUAAAUGUAAUUUUUAUAAUGCAUUUUGACAUUGGGGAAUAGUGGUAAUAACUAAAUGAAUUGCAAUCACAGUUAGAGUAAUUCAUGUGCUAUUUCUUCUUGUAAAACCGCACGAAAUAUAUAUUGCGGUAGUUUUGCAGCAGCAUGCAAAAUAUUGAUUUCAUUAUGUUUAGUUUUCCUGUUCUAUCAUUAUCAUUUUCUUUCUCAACAUGUGUCUCAGAAUAAUUUUAAUAAUAGAAUAAUGUUCUUCUCUAGCUUAUCCUGAGGUGAAGCUGGCUUUGUAAACUAAAGGACAAGAUGAUAAACUGGAGCACAAACAUAUUCUCCCUGUCAUGAUCUGACUUGGCUUUGGAGGUGUGGUUUCUGAGUUUCAGGCUGGGAGAGCAGGUUUCCCCGGUUACCUGGGCGGAGUCCGUGGCUGCCUGCUGUCACACCUGUCCUGCAUAUACAAUCGUCAGGAACCCCUCUUAAGGAACAGCAGGAGCACCUGUUUUCGCCAGAUCGUUUUGCCCUCCUAGUGUCUCGUCCCAGCCUGCUUUCCCGGAACCUGACGGAUUCCCCGGCUUCCCCUCUCGCCCUCCGCGGCUUGGGAGAACCCCUCCGGCCAGCCGGAUCACUACCUCUCCCUCCAGCGUGGAUUCUAUCUAUUGCAUCGCUCCUGCCGCCUGGACCCCUGUGCCUGUCUGCCUUUCCAGCGUCUUCCCCAGCCACGGAUCCCGAAUUAACUAUUUAAAUCCCUCUGCUGCCAAAAUAAAAUCUUUUUCUUAUCCUC
Long non-coding RNA from Gasterosteus aculeatus aculeatus (three-spined stickleback), 1544 nucleotides. NCBI's taxonomy places the organism in Eukaryota, Metazoa, Chordata, Actinopteri, Perciformes, Gasterosteidae. The record is from Ensembl.